UCAGAAUGAACGCUGGCGGCGUGCUUAACACAUGCAAGUCGCACGAGAACACCUCAGCUUGCUGGGGUAAGUAAAGUGGCGCACGGGUGAGUAACGCGUGGGUAAUCUGCCCUCGAAUCUGGGAUAACCCCGCGAAAGCGGGGCUAAUACCGGAUGAAAUCCAGUUAGCUUUGGCUAUAUGGAUCAAAGGUGGCCUCUGCAUGCAAGCUACUGUUUGGGGAUGAGCCCGCGUACCAUUAGCUUGUUGGUGGGGUAAAGGCCCACCAAGGCGACGAUGGUUAGCUGGUCUGAGAGGAUGAUCAGCCACACUGGAACUGGAACACGGUCCAGACUCCUACGGGAGGCAGCAGUGAGGAAUUUUGCGCAAUGGGGGUAACCCUGACGCAGCAACGCCGCGUGAGUGAUGAAGGCCUUCGGGUCGUAAAGCUCUGUCAAGUGGGAAGAACCCAUUCCGGCACAACAAGCCGGGGUGCUGACGGUACCACUGAAGGAAGCACCGGCUAACUCCGUGCCAGCAGCCGCGGUAAUACGGAGGGUGCGAGCGUUAUUCGGAAUUACUGGGCGUAAAGGGCGCGUAGGCGGCCGAUUAAGUCAGAUGUGAAAUCCCGGGGCUUACCCCCGGAAGUGCAUUUGAUACUGAACGGCUUGAGUAUGGGAGAGGGAAGUGGAAUUCCUGGUGUAGCGGUGAAAUGCGUAGAUAUCAGGAGGAACACCGGUGGCGAAGGCGACUUCCUGGACCAAUACUGACGCUGAGGCGCGAAGGCGUGGGGAGCAAACAGGAUUAGAUACCCUGGUAGUCCACGCAG
RNAcentral lists this ribosomal RNA (806 nucleotides) under uncultured organism. RNAcentral describes it as "bacterial SSU rRNA". It matches the Rfam family "Bacterial small subunit ribosomal RNA", at positions 24 to 802 of the family's 1533-position model. The record is from RNAcentral.